CCCAGUUCGGAUCGCAGGCUGCAACCCGCCUGCGUGAAGUCGGAAUCGCUAGUAAUCGCGGAUCAGCAUGCCGCGGUGAAUACGUUCCCGGGCCUUGUACACACCGCCCGUCACACCAUGAGAGUCGGGAACACCCGAAGUCCGUAGCCUAACCGAAAGGGGGCGCGGCCGAAGGUGGGAUUGAUGACUGGGGUGAAGUCGUAACAAGGUAAC
Molecule: ribosomal RNA, 213 nt
Filed under: uncultured bacterium
Lineage: Bacteria
Description: partial 16S ribosomal RNA
Rfam family: Bacterial small subunit ribosomal RNA
Source: RNAcentral